GGAAAUGUGCCUGAAAGGCAAAGGGCUAUUUUGAUGUGAUAGAUAUAGAGCCAACCACCCUCUCAUUUCCU
Molecule: transfer RNA, 71 nt
Filed under: Hydrosaurus amboinensis (sailfin lizard)
Lineage: Eukaryota; Metazoa; Chordata; Lepidosauria; Squamata; Agamidae
Description: tRNA-Ile
Source: RNAcentral